This 483-nucleotide ribosomal RNA is filed under the name uncultured bacterium. RNAcentral describes it as "partial 16S ribosomal RNA". It matches the Rfam family "Bacterial small subunit ribosomal RNA", at positions 28 to 523 of the family's 1533-position model. The record is from RNAcentral.
GACGAACGCUGGCGGCGUGCUUAACACAUGCAAGUCGAACGAUGAACCCGGAGCUUGCUCCGGUGGAUUAGUGGCGAACGGGUGAGUACACGUGAGUAACCUGCCCUUGACUCUGGGAUAACUGCGGGAAAACGUAGCUAAUACCGGAUACGACCCUCGGCGGCCACGCCCGGGGGUGGGAAGAAAUUCGGUCAAGGAUGGACUCGCGGCCUAUCAGCUAGUUGGUGAGGUAACGGCUCACCAAGGCGACGACGGGUAGCCGGCCUGAGAGGGUGACCGGCCACACUGGGACUGAGACACGGCCCAGACUCCUACGGGAGGCAGCAGUGGGGAAUAUUGCACAAUGGGCGCAAGCCUGAUGCAACAACGCCGCGUGAGGGAUGACGGCCUUCGGGUUGUAAACCUCUUUUAGUAGGGAAGAAGCGAAAGUGACGGUACCUGCAGAAAAAGCACCGGCUAACUACGUGCCAGCCGCCGCAGUAA